RNAcentral lists this transfer RNA (67 nucleotides) under Marmota monax (woodchuck). RNAcentral describes it as "tRNA.Ala". The record is from RNAcentral. Lineage: Eukaryota; Metazoa; Chordata; Mammalia; Rodentia; Sciuridae.
GGCUGUGGCUCAGUAGUAGAGUGCUUGCCUAGCAUGUGUGAGGCACUGGGUUCGAUUCUCAGCACCA